GAUGAACGCUGGCGGCGUGCCUAAUACAUGCAAGUCGAGCGAACGGACGAGAAGCUUGCUCUUCUUAUGUUAGCUGCGGACGGGUGAGUAACACGUGGAUAACCUACCUAUAAGACUGGGAUAACUUCUGGAAACCGGAGCUAAUACCGGAUAAUAUUUUGAACCGCAUGGUUCAAAAUUGAAAGACGGUCUUGCUGUCACUUAUAGAUGAAUCCGCGCUGCAUUAGCUAGUUGGUAAGUUAACGGCUUACCAAGCCACCGAUGCAUAGCCGCCCUGAGAGGGUGAUCGGCCACACUGGAACUGGGACACGGUCCAGACUCCUACGGGAGGAAGCAGUAGGGAAUCUUGCGCAUUGGGGGAAAGCCUGACGGAGAAACGCCGCUUGAGUGAUGAAGGUUUUCGGAUCUAAAAACUCUGUUAUUAGGGAAGAACAUAUGUGUAAGUAACUGUGCACAUCUUGACGGUACCUAAUCAGAAAGCCACGGCUAACUACGUG
RNAcentral lists this ribosomal RNA (497 nucleotides) under uncultured bacterium. RNAcentral's name for it is "partial 16S ribosomal RNA". It matches the Rfam family "Bacterial small subunit ribosomal RNA", at positions 28 to 507 of the family's 1533-position model. The record is from RNAcentral.